Molecule: transfer RNA, 93 nt
Filed under: Tsukamurella tyrosinosolvens
Lineage: Bacteria; Bacillati; Actinomycetota; Actinomycetes; Mycobacteriales; Tsukamurellaceae
Description: tRNA-Ala(ggc)
Source: RNAcentral
CCGAGGACGGCGCGCGCGGCGGCGCGGGCGGCGGUGGCGUCGCCGUCGAGGACGGCCGCAGUGAGGGCGCGGUAGCGGUCCGCGGGUUCGGCC